UUAUUGAAGAGCAUGUCUUUGUUUUUAAAAGAAUCUUCGAAACCUGGAUGAAAAAGUUUGAAUAGUAAAUUUUCUACAUAAACAAUAGGCAAAUACAAAAAAAAUAAAAAAAAUAGAAAACCUAGCAAUAGAUAAUUAUUACAAUUAAGGAACUCAUCAAAUUCCUCAAACAAAUUAGGAUGAAAUUGAUUCAUCAUUUCCUUUCUAGCAGCUUUCUUCUCGUGCUGGACGGUUCGUUGGCUGCAAACCUCGAGGGCCAAUGAUUGGGGAUUCAGGGUCCUCUAUCUUAGGCGUCUUGUUUAUGCCCAGUUUCUUGGUCUCGUUUGCCUUCUUUUGGCACUCUUUUACCUUUCGUGUUAUCUUCAAGACUAUGGACGGCAUCUUCAGCAUCUAGCUCAUCCUCAAAAUAGACAAAUACAAAUCCUGCAGGAAAAAAGUAGCAUGAGGU
This 448-nucleotide long non-coding RNA is filed under the name Olea europaea (common olive). RNAcentral's name for it is "long non-coding RNA (OEUR_LNC015325)". The record is from RNAcentral. Lineage: Eukaryota; Viridiplantae; Streptophyta; Magnoliopsida; Lamiales; Oleaceae.